RNAcentral lists this ribosomal RNA (369 nucleotides) under uncultured bacterium. Its description in RNAcentral is "bacterial SSU rRNA". It matches the Rfam family "Bacterial small subunit ribosomal RNA", at positions 527 to 896 of the family's 1533-position model. The record is from RNAcentral.
GUACGGUGCAAGCGUUAAUCGGAAUUACUGGGCGUAAAGCGUGCGCAGGCGGCUUUGCAAGACAGAUGUGAAAUCCCCGGGCUUAACCUGGGAACUGCAUUUGUGACUGCAUGGCUGGAGUGCGGCAGAGGGGGAUGGAAUUCCGCGUGUAGCAGUGAAAUGCGUAGAUAUGCGGAGGAACACCGAUGGCGAAGGCAAUCCCCUGGGCCUGCACUGACGCUCAUGCACGAAAGCGUGGGGAGCAAACAGGAUUAGAUACCCUGGUAGUCCACGCCCUAAACGAUGUCAACUGGUUGUUGGACGGCUUGCUGUUCAGUAACGAAGCUAACGCGUGAAGUUGACCGCCUGGGGAGUACGGCCGCAAGGUUG